This is a long non-coding RNA of Hylaeus anthracinus, 1028 nucleotides long. RefSeq lists it as uncharacterized. The transcript has 3 exons. The record is from RefSeq and is a predicted model, not a curated record. Lineage: Eukaryota; Metazoa; Arthropoda; Insecta; Hymenoptera; Colletidae.
CAAUAAAAAAAUUGUUUUUCGUUCUUCAAUAUAUGUUAAAUAAACCCUCUGAAAAGAAAUUCUAUUCCACUUGUCACACUCCCAAAAUAAAUUGUCAAAUUUAGGUCUUUUUUUCGGCCUCUAGAGUGGUUUUACCCCUUAAUGAGUUUCUGAAACACACUACUUAACGCACAGUAAAAUUAUUUAUGCCAUAUAAUUUGUUCAUUUGAACGAAAUACGUUUUAUGGAAACCUUUUUUUGUUUCGAUAGCUUCAUUCCCUCAUGAGAUAUUUAAUCAAUCCAAUUUAAACGAAACACUCUGUACAUGUCGUCGUGUGCGAAAAGAAAUGGUCGGUUUAAGUUCGUGGCGCCAUUGUGGCCCGCGCGAUUCCGUAGUGGAAGGGGAAGGUGGCGCGUCGCACACAGGUAAUACAGAUCGGGAUUUCCGGCAUUUAAAAACCGACCGCCGAGGAGAAGAGCCGGUACCACAGACAUAAGAUGCACAUAUAUUCCCGCGCGAUAGCAGUCUAAACAGAGCUGAUGUCAGCAGUGUAUCUGCGACCGAGGGAGCGGUGGGAUAUGCAACCACUACCAGUCGGUGAACUGUUUUGUUAGUUUAUAAUAUAGCACGGUAAUAACCAUAGAAACCGUUCCACCUUCCAAGAAUGCAAUUUACCAAACAUUAUGUGGAAUGCGUUACAAAUGUGACAGCUGCAGCAAAUAGUUUCGUUAUAAUAAAUUAUGUUUUCGUUCAGGGGGCACGACACAAAAAUUGUUACACAAAUCGAUAUUUUUUUGUGCCAUUUCACGAAAGAGUCGUUACAGUGUUAUGCUCCCUUAACACGUUGAUCGCCACGUCACCCAUAUGUGGGUGACAGUGCUUUUCACUGAAGAACUAAAAACAUUAAUUCUGAAAGUUAAGCUUCACAGGAAAUGAAUUUAAAUGAAAUUCGUGUAUCUUGAUGAAGUUACAAAAAUGAAUACCACCACGGAUGUUUGAUUAUGUAGUCUCCAAUAGUCUGAAUAAUAUUUAAUCCUAGCAGAAAUUU